AGAGUUUGAUCCUGGCUCAGAACAAACGCUGGCGGCGUGCCUAACACAUGCAAGUCGUACGAGAAAGUCCGCUUCGGUGGAUGAGUAAAGUGGCGCACGGGUGAGUAACGCGUGGAUAAUCUACCCUUUAGUCUGGAAUAACUUAUCGAAAGGUGAACUAAUACCGGAUAAUAUCCCGAUUUCUUCGGCGAUCGGGAUCAAAGAAGGCCUCUGCUUGCAAGCUUUCACUGAAGGAUGAGUCCGCGUACCAUUAGCUAGUUGGCAGGGUAAUGGCCUACCAAGGUUAUGAUGGUUAGCUGGUCUGAGAGGAUGAUCAGCCACACUGGAACUGAAACACGGUCCAGACUCCUACGGGAGGCAGCAGUGAGGAAUAUUGCGCAAUGGGGGCAACCCUGACGCAGCAACGCCGCGUGAGUGAGGAAGGUUUUCGGAUUGUAAAGCUCUGUCGAGCGGAAAGAAGUGCAUGGUGGUUAAUAUCCAUCAUGCUUGACGGUACCGCUAAAGGAAGCACCGGCUAACUCCGUGCCAGCAGCCGCGGUAAUACGGGGGGUGCAAGCGUUGUUCGGAAUCAUUGGGCGUAAAGCGCGUGUAGGCGGCUGGACAAGUCAGAUGUGAAAGCCCUGGGCUUAACCUAGGAAGUGCAUUUGAAACUGUUCAGCUAGAGUAAGGGAGAGGAAAGUGGAAUUCCUGGUGUAGAGGUGAAAUUCGUAGAUAUCAGGAGGAACACCGGUGGCGAAGGCGACUUUCUGGUCCUAUACUGACGCUGAGACGCGAAAGCGUGGGUAGCAAACAGGAUUAGAUACCCUGGUAGUCCACGCUGUAAACGAUGUUCACUAGGUGUUGGGGGUAUUGACCCUUCCAGUGCCGCAGCUAACGCAUUAAGUGAACCGCCUGGGGAGUACGGUCGCAAGAUUAAAACUCAAAGGAAUUGACGG
RNAcentral lists this ribosomal RNA (935 nucleotides) under uncultured Syntrophaceae bacterium. RNAcentral's name for it is "bacterial SSU rRNA". It matches the Rfam family "Bacterial small subunit ribosomal RNA", at positions 8 to 916 of the family's 1533-position model. Lineage: Bacteria; Pseudomonadati; Thermodesulfobacteriota; Syntrophia; Syntrophales; Syntrophaceae. The record is from RNAcentral.